This is a long non-coding RNA of Cucurbita moschata (crookneck pumpkin), 541 nucleotides long. RefSeq lists it as uncharacterized. Lineage: Eukaryota; Viridiplantae; Streptophyta; Magnoliopsida; Cucurbitales; Cucurbitaceae. The record is from RefSeq and is a predicted model, not a curated record. The transcript has 2 exons.
UCCGUCUUCCCAUCAGCAACAGCCCCAUAAUCAUUUACAUUAAAAACACCCCGUCCACUCAAAGGAAAUUCGCCGGACGGCUCCGGCGCAAGAGAAUCAAAUCCACCGUCGGCAGAUUCAAGAGGCGUGUCCGGCGAGAAAUUGCUUGCAGAUACAGAAAGGGCCAGAAGAAAAGAGAACAAAAAUGGUGAAAGCUUCAUGGUUCUUGAAAUUCUCGGAUGCAGGAAAUUGUGGAGGAUUGGCCAGUUAUAUGUUCUGAUGAAUUGAUUGAAUCACUUGGAGUUUCUUCCUCCUACUUAUAGCUUGUUCGUUUCAGAACCUGAAAUUAAAAUUUCAAUAAGGUUCUCCGGUUUGGCUUUUGAUUCUGUAAAUUCUGUAAGGAACAAUGAUCCGAAAUAGAAUUGCUACUCAAAAAGUUUUUUGAAUUAGAUUGAAUCUGAGAAGCAUCGAGCCACUGUAACAUGACUUAUGAAUCAUGUCAUGUUACAAAUUAAGCACAGAAGAAUAUCAGAAAAGUAAGCAAAAAAAAAAAAAAAAAAAA